This 261-nucleotide unclassified non-coding RNA is filed under the name Hevea brasiliensis (rubber tree). The record is from RNAcentral. Lineage: Eukaryota; Viridiplantae; Streptophyta; Magnoliopsida; Malpighiales; Euphorbiaceae.
GAUUUGGUGACUCUGAAACUUUUAGUUUUAGCUAGGAUAUAAUAUGAUUUUCAUUCGAUAAAUUAACAUAAACAAAUAAUAUAAAAACAUGAGUUCUUAAUUCGGCCACUAUGUUUCAUUUUUUUUUUGACAAGAAACAAAGUUUAUUGUAUCUGGGCCAUAUAAAUAACUUAAAAUUUCCAUAAACAGAAAGAAAAUGAAACAUAGAAAAAUAUAUAGAAUCAGCUAAUACUAAAAGUUUCAGAGUCACCAAAUCAUAAA